AUGGCCAUGCUGUGUCCCUUGAGGGAUGAGC
Molecule: non-coding RNA, 31 nt
Filed under: Homo sapiens (human)
Lineage: Eukaryota; Metazoa; Chordata; Mammalia; Primates; Hominidae
Source: RNAcentral